This 468-nucleotide ribosomal RNA is filed under the name uncultured bacterium. Its description in RNAcentral is "partial 16S ribosomal RNA". It matches the Rfam family "Bacterial small subunit ribosomal RNA", at positions 28 to 507 of the family's 1533-position model. The record is from RNAcentral.
GACGAACGCUGGCGGCGUGCCUAACACAUGCAAGUCGAACGGAAAGGCCCUGCUCUUGUGGGUUGCUCGAGUGGCGAACGGGUGAGUAACACGUGAGUAACCUGCCCUUGACUGUGGGAUAACUUCAGGAAACUGGGGCUAAUACCGGAUAGGAGCUCCUGCUGCAUGGUGGGGGUUGGUAAGUUUCGGCGGUUGGGGAUGGACUAGCGGCUUAUCGGCUUGUUUGUGGAGUAGUGGAGUACAAAGGCUUUGACGGGUAGCCGGCCUGAGAGGGUGACCGGCCACAAUAGUACUACGAGACGGAGCAGUAUGCUACGGGACGCAGCAGUGGGGAAUAUUGCACAGUGAGCGGAAGCCUGAUACGACAGCGUCGCGUUCGGGAUGCCCGCCUUCGAGUGGUGAACAGCUGUCGCCUGUGACGAAGCGGGCUUGACGGUAAUGGAUAAAAAAGCACCGGCUAACUACGUG